CACGACCAGUGGGAGGGGUGCGGGGGAAUGGGGAGGGGUCAAGGGUUGUCCGGUUUUAUUGGGGGGAAAGGGUUGGUCGGGGGUUGGUUGCGUCGUCCGUGAAAUUCCAUGGCGGAGCUGUGGGAGUGCGGGCGAUACGGGCGGGCUGGAGGGCGGUAGGGGAGACUGGAAUUCCUGGUGUAGCGGUGAAAUGCGCAGAUAGCAGGAGGAACACCGGUGGCGAAGGCGGGUCUCUGGGCCGAUACUGACGCUGAGGAGCGAAAGCGUGGGGAGCGAACAGGAUUAGAUACCCUAGUAGUC
Molecule: ribosomal RNA, 300 nt
Filed under: uncultured Desulfitobacterium sp.
Lineage: Bacteria; Bacillati; Bacillota; Clostridia; Eubacteriales; Desulfitobacteriaceae
Description: bacterial SSU rRNA
Rfam family: Bacterial small subunit ribosomal RNA (bases 52-300)
Source: RNAcentral